This 334-nucleotide ribosomal RNA is filed under the name uncultured soil bacterium. RNAcentral describes it as "bacterial SSU rRNA". It matches the Rfam family "Bacterial small subunit ribosomal RNA", at positions 26 to 363 of the family's 1533-position model. The record is from RNAcentral.
AGGACGAACGCUGGCGGCGUGCUUAACACAUGCAAGUCGAGCGGAAAGGCCUUUCGGGGUACUCGAGCGGCGAACGGGUGAGUAACACGUGAGUAAUCUGCCCAUCGCUUCAGGAUAGCCAUCGGAAACGGUGAUUAAUACUGGAUAUGACAUUCCUUCGCAUGUUGGGGUGUGGAAAGUUUUUUCGGCGGUGGAUGUGCUCGCGGCCUAUCAGCUUGUUGGUGGGGUAAUGGCCUACCAAGGCUUUGACGGGUAGCCGGCCUGAGAGGGUGACCGGCCACACGUGGGACUGAGACACGGCCCAGACUCCGUACGGGAGCAGCAGUGGGGAAUA